RNAcentral lists this long non-coding RNA (661 nucleotides) under Lathyrus oleraceus (garden pea). RNAcentral describes it as "Pisum sativum (pea) long non-coding RNA (PSAT_LNC018485)". The record is from RNAcentral. Lineage: Eukaryota; Viridiplantae; Streptophyta; Magnoliopsida; Fabales; Fabaceae.
UUAUCAUAUAUAGCAAUAAUAAACUCAUUGGAUAUCGAUCUUCAUGGAAAAGAAAACAGGAAUGGAAAUGGUGCACCCAAAUAAGUCAGCAACAGACAAGAGCUUCAGAAAAUUUAGCUCAUUUCCUCCUGUUAGAGGAAGUAUCAAGAGGAGAAUGUUCAUGUCUAUGUUUGGAAAAAUUAAGUACAGAUUCUGCCACCCAAUUCUGUUCAGCUCAAGUUAGUCAUUCUCCAGACUUAUGAGUUAAUAUUUAAAUUGUAAUAAUAUGCUACAUUCACAUGUAUUGUAACCCAGCAAUAACCAUGCAUAUGUAUGGUAUCUAUAUAGCAAUAAUAAUGGUGUAUGUAUACCAGUGUUGUAAAAUAGCCACAACUACAGCUACAGAAGCACUAUAACGUUGUUGUAACACUGUUGCAUGCCAAAAUUGAAACAAACUAUUAAUUUUACAAUGCUUGCAGAAACUGUAAUAUUAUUGUUACUUCAAGAAUAAAGUUGUGACUUAUUUUUCUUGCCUUUCGAACUAUUAAAAGUAGUAUGCCAUAAAAUACCUGUCUUUUAUUGUGUAUCUAUUGUAGCUUUUGCCACCUCUAAUGCAUCUUAUUGUAUUAUUGAAAGCCUACAACGAAAUCGAAAAACAGUAAAGUUAAUUUGGUUAUUUUAG